GGAGCAUCUCUUUUUCUGGAGUCUUUUUCAAACAGAGCAUGGGUUCCUCCAGGUCUAAAAUGGUCAAGGGCCAAUCUGAAGGUUAGGAUAGCACUAGUUUAUCUGGUAAAACCCUUGAGGAUCUGUGGAUCUGUGGUCUCUCAAUUCAUCAUCUGAGGACAGGGAGACAUAGUCCUGAGGAGUUGAGGUCAUAGUUCCUGUAAGAAAGUUGAGAUGGGCCAGGUGCAGUGGCUCAUGCCUGUAAUCCUAGCACUUUGGGAGGCUAAGGUGUGCAGAUCACUUGAGGUCAGGAGUUCGAGACCAGCCUGGCCAACAUGGUGAAGCCCCAUCUCUACUAAAAAUACAAAAAUUGGCCAGGUGUGGUGAUGCAUGUCUGUAAUCCCAGCUACUUGGGAGACUGAGGCACAAGAAUUGCUUGAACUCAGAAGGCAGAGGCUGCAGGGGGCUGAGAUCAUGUCACUGCACUACACUCCGGCCUGGGCAACAGAGCAAGACUCCAUCUCAAAAAAAAAAAAAAAAGAAAAGAAAAGAAAGUUGAGAUGCUUUGGCAUUGACCCGUUUUGUUGAAGUUCCCUCUUACUGCUUUUGUGAGACUUUUGUGAGAACAAUCACCUUCCUGAUUGUUCUUUCUCCCCAGACUGACUGCCCCAGUCUAGUGUUGACCACCAACACCUCUGUCAUAGCUCUCACCCCUCUCCAGGCUCUGAUGUCACAGACCCUGCAGUCACUUUGGAUUUAGUAAAUUCACUAAACAUCCCUUUACUCACUCCCCCAAGUCAAUCUCCCCUGCCCCAGUUCCAUGGUUCUUUUCUGAACCCUCUUUUCUUCUGUAUUCUUUUGCCAUCGGACAGCUUCAGGUCUCCGAACAUCAUGCAUGGUCUCCUAGUUGUCGAUGUGCAAUGGGUAUUUCUCUUCUCUAAACCUUCCCGAGUCCUGCUAAAAUGAUGAAGUGAUGAGCUGAGUGCCAAGAACAGCUAUCACAGCUCCUUAGGGCAUGGGCACCAAAGAUCCAUUUCCUCGUCUUGGGUUCAUGGCUCUCCUACAUUUCCUGGUCUCCUAGGUAUUCAGAUGUAACAGUUAAUUGAGUUCCAGGAAGUGGAAUGUGAGUGAAAUGAGCAACACUUAAAGAAAAACACCAGCUAUAAGCAGACAACAGUGCAGCUUAGGAGAUGACAGCUUUGGAAAUGAAGGCCCCGGGGUCCCUGAAUUCCUGAGAGGAAGAAAGCAACCCACCAAUGACAUCAGACGUUGAGCUACAUCAGCAAGAAAUUAACCUGCAUUGUGUUUGAAAAUAUCUGGGUCUCUUUAUUACCACAGCCUAGCCUAGCCUAAGAAAACCCAUUUCAAAUCCAAACUCCUCGAUCUGAUCUUUAAGGUCUUCUAUAAGUUAUCCCUUCCCCUGUCUGGUUUCAUUUUCCACUGCUCUCUUCUCUCCAUCCUGGUCAUCCUUGCCUCUCUCCCAGCCCUGAGAAGGCUCACUCUUGACUUCCUGCUCAAGCUUCCUGGUUCUCCUGCCCUCUACCUCUUUCCUUUGCUGAUCUCAAUCUCUAACCCUUCCAGGAAGAUUCUCAGAUAAUUCUGCCCCACACACCUCUCUCUCUUCACUGAAUUCAUAGAUCAGUAAUUGUUUCAUUUGUGCUUGUUUUCUCUUCCUUCUCAAGGGCAAGAACCGUCUUUGUGUAUAUUCCUCAAUGCUUGGUAUAAAGCAGGAGAUAGAUAGAUAGAUAGAUAGAUAGAUAGAUAUAGUGUGUGUGUGUGUGUGUGUGUGUGUGUGUGUGUGUGUGUGUGUGUUUGUGUGUGCUGAGUACAGUCUAUGGCCCCCAGAUUCUAUUCCUUGACAUGAAUAACAUGAAGUAUGUUCUCUAAUAGAUAAUUUUUUCAUUCAACAGGAGAUUGAUUCACUGGAUGUCAUUGUUAUAAAAAGCAACAGUGAAAGCUGCAGGGAACACAGUACAAAGUAAUGCACCUUCAGCACAGAUGUUGGAAUAGGAGACGCUAUUACUUGAUUUGUUCCUGUCUUGGCUAGUUGAUGAGGCUGCUGAUGUAGCCUUGACAUUUUCACUUCCUCUUGACAUAUUUUGUUCUCUGUCAACAUUCAACUUUCAACACUGGGCUCUGAGACUGAACAUACCCAGGGAAGUACAGGACAGGACCUCUGGAGCAAAGAGUUCCCACUGUCUCACUUGACUUUAAGUCUCAAAGUUGACUUUCUUUGUCUAUCAGGACAAUCAUCCUGAAAGUCAGGCUUUGUGCAGAGAGGAAAUUUUUCCAAAUCUCAAAUAUUUCCCUUGAGCAUGUUAGGAACCAAGCCCUGCUGUGCCUCUAUCAAAGAGCAGUGGAGAGAACAGACAGUCUGGAAGAGGGAGGAUUUGGGGCAGAGGCAGUCCUUGCCAAAGAGCAUAAUAAGGUGAAAUGCCAGCACCUUCUGGCUCUCUGCAACGUGGGAAGCACUGUGGGUCUAAUAUCAGUAUACCCAGAAUUCCUUCUCCAGGAGAAGAGAGGUGCCAGGUUGAGAGGGAGGCUUUUGGUGCACUCCUUGUUGGGACCCUGGGGUGGGGAGACCACCUCAAAGGGUGCCCCCUUCAUUGUCAUGGAGCUGCUGGCACAUCAGCUUCACCAAGGCAGGGAUCUUAGUUUUGUUCCCUGAUCAUGAGCAUCCAGAACAGUGCCUGGGACAUACUAGGGGCUCAAUAUAUAGUUCUGGGUUGACUACAUCAGAGUAAAAUGGAUGGGAUCUGCCUUUGUGCAGAGUUCCCCCACGUGGUUUCAAAGGAUUCCAGGAGUCCCUGCGUGUGGAGAGCUGGAUGACCAGAGGGGACUGGUUGGGUGAGCUAACGCUGGGUGUUGCCACAGUGGAAGCUUCAAGGAGGACCUUUUGGGCUGGAGGGCAGCAGUGCUCUGGGACAGUCACAGGCAGACAUUCAACAUCAGUUAGAGACAGCGGGGGCUGAGUCAGCCUUAGGAGUGCUCGGCGAACCUUCUGCCUAAGAUCUGCGGAGUCUGCCAGACAAUCUAGAAACUGAAGUUCAGUGAGUUUGAUGGCUGGACCACAGCCAUGCUUCUAGCAAAUGAUGAAGCCAGCUCUGAAAUCCAGGACUCCUCAUUCCAAGACUCCUUCUUUUUCAGCCCCAUCACCCCUGUAAAUUGCCUGAUUCUGCCAGAAGAUACUGGACCCUUCACCUACAUCUCCAGUCAUGAGACUUCCCUCCUACAGGGAGGCUUUUGUUUAGCUGGGCUGAAGUGCUGAGAAAGGGCCCCGGUGGCAGAGGGUCCCAAACACAUGUUAGUGAAAGAACAGCUUCCAUGGACUGCUGAGCAAGUGCUGGGUUCAUUCAUACAACAAUCCUGUCCAGCCUACUCCAAUGCAGUAUGAAAUUCUGGGACCUCCAAGGGAGCAAAUUACACAUAUACACAGGACCACAGUAGCCCUGAUUCACCCAAGAAUCUCCACUGCCACAAAAUGAGGAUACAACAAGGGGAGGACAAGUCAAUAAACAUUUCUCUAGCACUGGGUUAGGAGUCUUCUGUGUGUUAUUGAACUGUGAGAAGGCGUGUAAGAAAGAACAUGCCUUUCUUGUGAAAUGGAUUUUACGAUCUCCACUAUAGAGCUGAAGACCUCCAGGCUCACACCUGUGACAAAUUGGCCAGACUUUUCUGGCACCAAGGACUGCCCUCUUUCAUCAAGUUACCCAGCAGACAAUCAAAGGUGUCAGCUUUCUUCACCAAGGUUUGAUAAUGUUCUAGGGCCCUGGGGAGAGCAAGAGGAGCCUCCGGUAAAAUUGUGAAAUGAGUGAGGUUUGGAUUGGACUCCUUAUAGCAAUCUUCUUCCUACUCGGACAUCCGGCAAGUCCCUUUGCUGACCUCCUUUCACCCCCAGGGCUACUGGCAGAGAAUCCCUGAAAACCAAAAGGGUUGAAGAUGUUAUCUUUUCUAGAGGACACUCAGAGAACAAAAAGGCUUAGAGCUUAAAUUGUGGCAUUUCAGGCUCUAAGAGGGGCAGUGUCUACAAACACCUUAAGUUGCGUUCCCAGCACUUCCCCAGAAGGCAAAAAGAAACUACCUGGAGCACGUUGGAUAUGGGGCUCUAGUUCUGAGACUGAAAAAUCCCAGUUCUCUGCUGAAGUUUGAGGCAUUUAGAACAGCUCCCCUCCCGACCCAAAGGAUGAUUUACUGCAUGGAAGGAGGCUCUUCAGUAUCAUGUGCACAGUGCCACAGCAUUGUAUCUGCCGUCACACCCCGUAUGUUCAGUGCGGCCAUGAGAAAUCAAGGCAUAGGACUGGUGAAGCAUGAGGCACAUGCCCUCCCAAAUUGGGAGUAAAACAAUGUCCCAGGCACCACUACUUUCUUAAACAUUGCUCUGAAAGUGCUAGUCAAUAUAUUUACACAAGGCCAGGUGCAGUGGCUCAUGCCUGUAAUCCCAGCACUUUGGGAGGCUGAGACAGGCAGAUCUCCUGAGGUCAGCAGUUCAAGACCAGCCUGGGCAACAUGGUGAAACCCUGUCUCUACUAAAAAUACAACAAUUAGCUGGGCAUGGUGGCAGAAACCUGUAAUCUCAGCUACUCGGGAGGCUGAGGCAGGAGAAUCGCUUGAACCUGGGAGGCGGAGGUUGCAGUGAGCCAAGAUCACGCCACUGCACUCCAGCCUCGGUGACCGAGUGAGACUCCAGUUUGUCUAAUAUAAAAAUAUGUAUAUAUAUAUAGUCUAAUAUAAAUAUAUAUUUUGUCUAAUAUAAGUAUAUAUUAUAUACAUUUUGUCUAAUGUAAAUAUAUAUAUUUUGUCUAAUAUAAAUAUAUAUAUUUUUGUCUAAUAGAAAUACAAAUAUAUUUUGUCUAAUAUAUAUAUUAGACAAAAGAGUGAAGAAAUAUAAUUUCAACAUUUUAAAAAGGAAGGAAACUCAUUGUUUGUAAGGGAUCUGAUCACAUCAUUGAAAUGUGCAAGAAAAUAAAAUUAUUGGAAAUACUGAAUUCCGUAAGGUUGACAGAUUUUUUUAAAUGCAAAAUUAAUGUCUUUAGACACAAAUGAUCACCACUGAAACAUCCAGAAAUUCCACUUUUAGAAAUCAUCUGAGAAAAUAAUAAGUGCACAAAGAUACAGUCGUAAAAUCAACUUCAGCGUUCAUCAUCGGACAGUUGUUUCAAUGAACUGUGGUUCAUCUAGACAAUGGAAUGCAUAGCCCUUAAAAAUAUUACUGUGGAUCUACAUUUACUGAAAUGGAAAGAUUCCCAUACUAUGGGAUGGUAUGAUAAGCAUGAUAUAAAGUUCUGAAAUUAUAGUGAUAUUAAACUUUUUUAAUACAUUAGGAUUUAAACUUUUAUGUACCAAUAUCAGAACAAAAGGCCAUAAAAAGAUUAAAAUAUAAUGACAAGCCGAGAAUAGAUUGCAUUUCUAUUAUGAUCACUGGUGUAUUUUCUUCACAACACUUACAUCCACUUGAAUUAUAUAUAUUUUUUGUUUUUUAUUAUCUUUCAUUCUCACUAACCUAAAGUGAGGGAAUGUAAGUUUACUGUUGCACACCAGAACCUUGAACAUCAUGAGUAUUUGUUGCAUAAAUUAUGAAUAAAUUCCACUUCUGCACAUUAUGUAUCUCAAUUUCUCUAUAUAUACAUGAUAUAGAGGGAUGUCUGAAAAGAUAAUUCACCCAAAGGCUGGCAUUGGUUGGCUCUAUGUGUUGGAAUUCUCUGUCUCCCUCACCCCUCAAUCCUGGCUCUGUCUACAUACCCAUAAAUACAAAAAUAAUACAGGAAUGUAUUCUCCUCAUUCUUUUUUUUUUUUUUUUGAGAUGACCUCGCUCUCUUGCCUAAGCUGGAGUACAGUGGCACAAUCUUGGCACUCUACCUCCUGGGUUCAAGCAAUUCUGGUGCCUCAGCCUCCUGAAUAGCUGGAACUACAGGUGUGAGCCACCGCACUUGGCUAAUUUUUGUACUUUUUGGUAUAAAUGGGGUUUCGCCAUGUUGGCCGGGCUGAUCUCGAACUCCUGGCCUCAAGUGAUUCAUCUGCCUUGGCCUCCCAAAGAUCUGAGGUUACAGGUGUGAGCCACCUCACUCAGCCUGAAUAGAUUCUCAAUCUUUUAACUCCCAGCAAUAUGGAAUAAACUGCAUAGAUGAAAACACAGAAGUUCUUUUUAUUUCUCUCUUCUGCCCACCCCACCAAAUCCUAUCUUCCUCCCCAGAGAUAACUAUCAUUUUCAGUUUUGUUUGUGUCCUUCCAGACUUUAAAGACACAUCUAGACUGACAGUUUUAGUUGUAUGUAUUCUUUAAAUUAAGUGAGACUAGUCCAUGUAUAUUAUUCUGCAAUUUGCUUUUUUCAUUUGGCAAUAUUGAAAUUCUUUCUGUGCCAGUACAUAUAACUUUCCUGUCCUUUUUUUUUUUGUUUGUUUGAGACAGAGUCUCGCCCUGUCACCCAGGCUGGAAUGCAAUGGCACGAUCUCAGCUCACAGCAACCUCCGCUUCCCUGGUUCAAACGAUUCCACUGCCUCAGCCUCCCAAGUAGCUGGGAUUUACAGGCGCCUGCCACCAUGCCCAGCUAAUUUUUGUAUUUUUAGUAGAGAUGGGGUUUCCCAUGUUGGCCAGGCUGGUCUCGACCUCCUGACCUUGUGAUCCACCCAUCUUGGUCUCCCAAACUGCUGGGAUUACAGGCGUGAGCCACCGCGCCUGGCCUCCUGUCCUUUUUAGCUGCUGCAUGGUCACCAUUAAUAUGCAUGUAUUACCAAAUAUAGAUGCAUUCUGGUUUGUUUUAUGUGCAUUUAGUCAGCAUCCAGUCUUUUGCAAUCGCAAGCCAUGGUGCACCAGUGAACACCUUGUUUGGUUCCCUUUGUAAACGUUGUGUGUAUUCUCUGAAUACAUGUUUUGAAGUGGAAUCGCCAGGUAAAAUAAUGCAUUCAUUUUAAGUAUUGAUAGUUUCUGCCGAACUGUCUUUCACAAACGUGACACUAACUUACCUCUCCCCUCAUCUUAGGUGAGAAAGCCAUUUCUCUACCCUCUUGUCAACAUAGAAUCAUAUCACAAAUCUUCUAAUGUUUUGCUGGUUUGACAGGGAAGGACUAUAUCUUUAUGUUUUUUGUUAUAAUUUUUUUAAAUUAAAAAAAAUUUUUAUACCAACGAGGCUGGUCUCAAACUCCUGAGCUCAAGGAGUUUCUCUUUAUGUUGUUUUAGUCUGCAUUUCUCCGAUCACUAACAAAGUUGAUCACUUUUACCUACGCUUUUAAGACAUUUCUUCUGGAAAAUUCAUGUUCAUAAGCUUCGUCCAUUUUCUUCUUUGGUUGUUUAUCUUUUGAUUAAUGGUUUACAAGAUUUUUAACAACAAAUACUUCGAUUAUUGAUAUUAUCUUACAUAUUUAAAACCUCCUCUUUCUCAAGAUCCGGAAAAUAUGUAUCUAUGUGUUCUUCUAAUGGUUGUUAGUUUUGCUUUUCAUAUUUAGCACUAUAAUACAUCUAUUAUUUCUUUGUGUUUAUGUUGUGAAAUAAAAAUUUAACUGAAAAACAUUCCCAAGUCAAUAACCAAUUGCUCUAACACCAUUAAGUGAAAAUAUUUUCUAUUUUCUCAUUUGGACUAUCACCUUUGUCAAGUAUGAAUUGAUGGCAUGAUUUUUACUUGAAUUUAUUAUACAUGUUUUUAUUUUUGAAUGCACUGUUAUAAGCUACAGCAGGCUGGACGCAGUGGCUCAUGCCUGUAAUCCCAGCACUUUGGGAGGAAAAGCAGUUAUUUUCCAUUUGAAUACAUAUUAUAAUAAUCAACAUCAUGAAAAAUUAAUGAUAAAUUAACUGAAAAUUUCAAGUGAUAAUAUUUUAUGCAUAAUUUAAUCUAAAUUAUGUAAAUACAUCUAUGUGAAUAGAUGCAGAAAAUAAUGAGUAAGAUGCUAACAACUACAUCUUGGUGGCUUUCUCUUACUGGUAUUUCCCAUGCACUCUCCAAUUUCACUUCUACUUUUAGGGCUUAGCUCUGCUUCUUUUCUACUUUGCAAGGGUUGAGUCUCUGAUUUUCAAGGUUUUGGCUCUUGUUGAAUGACACGAGAAGUGAUUAUAAUGUUGUAUGCCCUGAAUGCAUGGUGCUGUGAGGAUGUGGUGACUUUAUCGAGUCAGAGAAGAAAGGCAAGGGAGUGAAGAGUUUGAACAUCUGUUACGUAUCAGAUUGCCUCAUUUGAUUUUUUCAAAUCACCUCUUAAAUAAAAUGUUCUAAUCCCCACUUUCCAUGUGAGCAAAUUGAGAUUCACCCAAGCGAAGUCAAUCAGUCACCUCCUGUAGGCUGCACAGCAAGUAUGUGGCAGAGCUGGGAUUUGCACCAAGGUCAAUUUGGAGCCAAAGCUCACAGGCUUCUCCUCACAUCAGGCAGGCUCUAGGGACGUGGAUG
Molecule: long non-coding RNA, 8347 nt
Filed under: Homo sapiens (human)
Lineage: Eukaryota; Metazoa; Chordata; Mammalia; Primates; Hominidae
Description: HSALNT0134777
Source: RNAcentral